Molecule: long non-coding RNA, 2079 nt
Filed under: Paramuricea clavata
Lineage: Eukaryota; Metazoa; Cnidaria; Anthozoa; Malacalcyonacea; Plexauridae
Source: RNAcentral
AUCAGUAAUAAUAAAUUUAUCUCCUCCAUAUACUAAUCCCAAGGUUUUAUUAAGGAUUUUCAAAAUCAUAAGAGGGACGUCACGCCCCUCAUACAGGAUACCUCAAAAUCACCAGGAUGGAGGACUAACUUAGGAUUACAAAGCUCACCCGGCAAUUCGCUCAGAUCACCUCUAUGACACAUAAAUUUACCAUCACACAGGCUCCACAAAACAUAAAAAUAGUGUUACACAGGAUUGCUAAGGGUGUUCUCGAGGACACACUUAGGAGGCUUACAUGAUUACAAGGUUCACUCAGCAAUUCGCUCAGAUCACCCCAGCAUUACAUCACAUUAUUUAUUUUAUUUUAUUAUUUAUUUUAUUUUAUUUUAUUAUUUAUUUUAUUAUUUAUUUUAUUUUAUUAUUUAUUUUAUUAUUUAUUUUAUUUUAUUAUUUAUUUUAUUAUUUAUUUUAUUUUAUUUUAUUAUUUAUUUUAUUAUUUAUUUUAUUUUAUUAUUUAUUUUCUCCCACGCGCGCGUUUUGUCAUGUCAGCAAAAUUGACCUCUGCUAAAAUGAGUUUGCUCACCUCUACUGAAAUGAGUUUGCGGUGAACUCCAAAGGUGUGUAUGGUGUAUGAUUACAAACUUGUGGAUGUUGUGUGGGAACUAAAACAUGUAAUGCUGGGGUGAUCUGAGCGAAUUGCUGAGUGAACCUUGUAAUCAUGUAAGCCUCCUAAGUGUGUCCUCGAGAACACCCUUAGCAAUCCUGUGUAACACUAUUUUUAUGUUUUGUGGAGCCUGUGUGAUGGUAAAUUUAUGUGUCAUAGAGGUGAUCUGAGCGAAUUGCCGGGUGAGCUUUGUAAUCCUAAGUUAGUCCUCCAUCCUGGUGAUUUUGAGGUAUCCUGUAUGAGGGGCGUGACGUCCCUCUUAUGAUUUUGAAAAUCCUUAAUAAAACCUUGGGAUUAGUAUAUGGAGGAGAUAAAUUUAUUAUUACUGAUAGUCGGUCUGGGGUUCGUUAUAGCUUAUAUGAAUAGUAAGAAAGGGUUGCCGCAGUCUAGGAGGAAGAGAUGGACCGCACCUUAUCUUCAAGAGUUUGUUGAGGAUGCUGAUGGUGGAGUUUAUGUGGGAGAUGUUAUUCGAGAGCGUGAUGAUGGUCAUUUUGUUAGGUUUACUUGAAUCUACUUAGGAUCUACUUGGAAUUUACUUAUAAGGUAUCUCAAAUUUACUUGAAUUCUACUUGCAAGAUAACUUGAAUCUACUGUUGAGAUAUCUGUGAUCUACUUGUAAGGUAACUUAAAUUUGCUGGUGAGAUAUCUCAAAUCUACUGGUAAGAUAACUGUUGAGAUAACUGGGAUCUACUGGUGAGGUAACCUAAGUUUACUUGUGAGAUGUCUUAGGUUUACUUGUAAGAUAACUGGAAUCUACUUGUAAGGUAACUUAAGUUUACUGGUGGGAUGUCUUAGGUUUACUUGCAAGGUAACUGAGAUCUACUGGUGAGGUAACUCAGAUCUACUGGUGAGAUGUCUUAGGUUUACUUGCAGAUAGCAGUUGCGGCCUGCUUGUAGAAACUUAUAUAGUCAUGCGGCGUUGUAGGUAGGUGGCUGCUGUUUGCUUGUAAAGAUUAUGCGGUCCCUGCUGGGAACUUUCCUUGAAUCUUGCGGUUUGUUUGUGGAAUUUGUGCGGUCUGCCUGUAAACUCUAACAGUUCCUCUCAUGAAAGACGAUUCGGUUCUAUUUGUAGGAAUAAGUUUAAACAUCAUGUAUAGUAUAGAUAGAGGAAUGUAUUUCAAGAGUUACUGUUGUGAUAAUAAGUAUGUGUUCCUCAAGAAUAGCAUCAGUAUUGCAGGAAGGACUUAUAACAUUGAGGUGGGAAAGUAUGAGGUGUCCUCCGGAAAACUAGGGCCUGUUUAUCCUUCACAGGUAAGAAGAUGUGUAAGUAAGUAUGUGGAAAAGUCUGGGAUAGAUAUGGUUGUUAGUGUGAUUGUUAAGAUUAAGAAGUUACUAAAUAGUGAAAACCUUAAGUACUACCCUAGUAUGAGAUUCUAUAUUGUAAGAGUUUGUAGUGCACUUGGAAUUGAGCCAAAUGAGCAGUUGCGGGAUUUGUA